RNAcentral lists this long non-coding RNA (755 nucleotides) under Homo sapiens (human). RNAcentral describes it as "non-protein coding lnc-ZNF680-24:1". Lineage: Eukaryota; Metazoa; Chordata; Mammalia; Primates; Hominidae. The record is from RNAcentral.
AUGACCCACCAAACACACACCUCUCAUUUAGUCAAACUCAGCCCUUGGCCAUUAACAGGGGCUCUCUCAGCUCUCCUAAUAACAUCUGGCCUAGCUAUAUGAUCUCACUUUAACUCUAUUACUCUUUUAACUUUAGGCCUACUAACCAAUACACUGACUAUAUAUCAAUGGUGACGUGAUAUUAUCCGAGAAAGUACAUUUCAAGGCCACCAUACAACAAUUGUCCGAAAGGCCUCUGAUAUGGAAUUUAUUUAUUAUCUCAGAAGCAUUUUUCUUUGCUGGAUUCUUCUGGGCAUUCUACCAUUCCAGUCUAGCCCCAACUCCAGAACUAGGAGGACACUGACCCCCAACAGGCAUUUCUCCCCUCAACCCUCUGGAAGUACCCCUCUUGCAUCAGGGAUUUCAAUUACUUGAGCCUAUCACAGCCUACUAGAAAAUAAUCAAAAACAAAUAACUGAAGCACUACUUAUCACAAUUACCUCAGGUAUUUACUUCACCCUCCUACAAGUCUCAGAAUACUUUGAGGCUCCCUUUGCUAUUUCUGAUGAAUUUAUGGCUCAACAUUCUUUAUAGCUACAGCCUUUCACGGACUUCACGUCAUUAUUGGAUCAACAUUCCUCACUAUCUGUCUCUUCUGCCAAUUAAAAUAUCACUUUACAUCUAGCCAUCACUUUGGCUUCGAAGCUGCUGCCUGAUAUUGACACUCUGUAGAUGUAGUAUGACUAUUCUUGUAUAUCUCUAUUUACUGAUGAGGA